RNAcentral lists this ribosomal RNA (460 nucleotides) under uncultured bacterium. RNAcentral describes it as "partial 16S ribosomal RNA". It matches the Rfam family "Bacterial small subunit ribosomal RNA", at positions 338 to 795 of the family's 1533-position model. The record is from RNAcentral.
CCUACGGGUGGCAGCAGUGAGGAAUAUUGGUCAAUGGCCGUAAGGCUGAACCAGCCAAGUCGCGUGAAGGAAGACGGAUCUAUGGUUUGUAAACUUCUUUUAUAGGGGAAUAAAGGUAUCCACGUGUGGAGAUUCGCAUGUACCCUAUGAAUAAGCAUCGGCUAACUCCGUGCCAGCAGCCGCGGUAAUACGGAGGAUGCGAGCGUUAUCCGGAUUUAUUGGGUUUAAAGGGUGCGUAGGCUGUUUUUUAAGUCAGCGGUGAAAGUUUGUGGCUCAACCCUAAAAUUGCCGUUGAAACUGGAAGACUUGAGUGUGUUUGAGGUAGGCGGAAUGCGUGGUGUAGCGGUGAAAUGCAUAGAUAUCACGCAGAACUCCGAUUGCGAAGGCAGCUUACUAAGCCAUAACUGACGCUGAAGCACGAAAGCGUGGGGAUCGAACAGGAUUAGAUACCCUUGUAGUC